UACGUAGGGGGCAAGCGUUGUCCGGAUUUAUUGGGCGUAAAGAGCGUGUAGGCGGCCAGAAAAGUCCGCUGUGAAAACUCGAGGCUCAACUUCGAGCUGUCGGUGGAAACUUUCUGGCUAGAGUCCGGAAGAGGAGAAUGGAAUUCCUGGUGUAGCGGUGAAAUGCGCAGAUAUCAGGAGGAACACCGGUGGCGAAGGCGGUUCUCUGGGCCUUACCUGACGCUGAGGAGCGAAAGCAUGGGGAGCAAACAGG
Molecule: ribosomal RNA, 253 nt
Filed under: uncultured bacterium
Lineage: Bacteria
Description: partial 16S ribosomal RNA
Rfam family: Bacterial small subunit ribosomal RNA
Source: RNAcentral